Molecule: non-coding RNA, 1064 nt
Organism: Pelodiscus sinensis (Chinese soft-shelled turtle)
Lineage: Eukaryota; Metazoa; Chordata; Testudines; Trionychidae
Source: RefSeq, a predicted model, not a curated record
UUGUUCCCUGCAGGGAAUAUUGACGGGGUGGGCACUGAAAGGGUAAGAAGGAGUUGUCCCCAAGGUUUCCUCUGCCCUGGAAGAGACCAAGGCAAUAGCUGGGGCAGGUGUGACCUGACACAUUUGGUUACUGACCUUGCUGGAGUGCAAGGAACAGUCCUCAGGGCUCUAAACCGGCAUUCUGAGUUGAGAUCUUGCUGAGACUUGCUGGCUCCUUGUCCUUAGCCUUACCAGAGGAAGAAGACAGUGCUUGGGUCUGACAGGGUUUGAAAGGAAUGAAACUGUCUACAGAAUCUGUAUGGAUGGAUAUUACAUGUGUAACCCUGACUGACCUCAGUCAUCUGCGGACACAAACAAACCUGGGGCUUCCGGGGAUUACUGCAUAAGCCAAAAGCCAGCUGGCUAAAGCUAUAGAACAGACUCAUUAUUUUCUCAUCUUAUUUAUGAAAGCAUGCUCGUCAGUGAUGGAUGUACCUACAGCAAUGAAAGAACCAGUGUGCUCAAGCUGAAACACAUUCUUGCCAAGUAAAUAUUGGAAAAGCUCACAGCUACUAGGACAUGGAUGCAAAUCAUAUCAGAUCACAGCUAACUUGCAUUAUAAAGUCACACUAGGAAUAAUGAGUAUGAAGGUCCAAAGUAAUCUACCAAUAUAAAGGAUUUACAAAAUGCUACCUGCAAAUCAAAACUCAAUUUCAGGUUUUGCAAAGCCUAAAAUACAUCAAUUCAGAACGCACAGUGUGCUUUUUAAUCGGACAUACUUUAAAAAACUUUGGAGAGAUCUGAACAAUUUUGGCAACUCACUGGAAAAACUAAAGUUUGAGCUGUUGAAAAAUGAAACAUUCAUGUUGGGAAACAUUGCAGUUUUGAAGUGUCUGAAAAAACAUAUUUUGGGGGGUUAAUUUAUUUUGUGAAUCUUUUGGGACUCUUUUGUUACCCAAGUUCUAUGAAACACAUAGUAAAAAAGUUUUGUUUUUCUUUUCCAGAGGCUGGAUUUUUUGUAAAAAACUCUUUCAAUUAAAAAGUUUCAUUUGGGUGUUGGGGUUUAGCUCCAGGCACACCAGCAA